GAUGAAGAACGCAGCGAAAUGCGAUAAGUAAUGUGAAUUGCAGAAUUCAGUGAAUCAUCGAGUCUCUGAACGCACAUUGCGCCCCCUGGUAUUCCGGGGGGCAUGCCUGUCCGAGCGUCAUUGCUGCCCUCAAGCACGGCUUGUGUGUUGGGCCCCGCCCCCCGGCUCCCGGGGGGCGGGCCCGAAAGGCAGCGGCGGCACCGCGUCCGGUCCUCGAGCGUAUGGGGCUUCGUCACCCGCUCCGUAGGCCCGGCCGGCGCCCGCCGGCGACCCCCCUCAAUCUUUUCAGGUUGACCUCGGAUCAGGUAGGGAUACCCGCUGAACUUAAGCAUAUCAAUAAGCGGAGGA
RNAcentral lists this unclassified non-coding RNA (348 nucleotides) under soil metagenome. Its description in RNAcentral is "partial contains 5.8S ribosomal RNA, internal transcribed spacer 2, and large subunit ribosomal RNA". The stretch from base 1 to 120 matches the Rfam family "5.8S ribosomal RNA", at positions 35 to 154 of the family's 154-position model. The record is from RNAcentral.